Molecule: long non-coding RNA, 7835 nt
Filed under: Lactuca sativa (garden lettuce)
Lineage: Eukaryota; Viridiplantae; Streptophyta; Magnoliopsida; Asterales; Asteraceae
Description: long non-coding RNA (LSAT_LNC007463)
Source: RNAcentral
GGAUCAGAUCGGUGACUCCUUCGGAUAAUGCUUCCGAAUUUUGAAUUAAAAAUAAAUACAAAAUGAUUAAUAAACUUCGGAAAUUCAUAACUUCUUCAUACGAACUCCGUUUUCGACGUUCUUUAUAUCCACGCGAAGGUGAGACCACGCUCUACGACUUUCGUUUAGACUCCGUCGGCUAAUUUUGACUUUAUUUUUAUUAAUUAUUUUUAAUAGGCCGGGACAGAAACUUUCGUUAUAAAUUCAUAACUUCUUCGUUUGACGUCCGUUCUCGCCUAACUUUUUAUCGUUUCAAUACCAACAAUGAGAUCUUCGAUUCUCAUUUAGAUUGCUUCGGCUAACAACCGCUCGAUCUCAAAUCGAGUAAAACAGGCUGUAUAUCGCUAAGCCGGAACUUCGAUAAAUCAUAACUUCCUCAUACGAAGUCAGAUUUGGGCGUUCUAUAUAUAUUCGGAAACCUCGUUUCAACUACUACAACAUUAACCAAAGAUAUUAAGUUUAUUUUACACUUAAAUUUUGACGCUUAUUUUUAUUCUUAAUUAAUCAAACCACAUAAUUAAGCAAUUAAGCACAAAACACAUAAUACUCAAAUAAUACAAUCUUAUUAUUUCAAAACGGGUUACAAAGGUUAACCUAGACUAUUACAUUGCUAAAAAUGGCAAGCCCGGAAACACAGGCGUUACAAUUCUCUCCACCUUAGAAUGAUUCCGUCCCCGGAAUCACACAUCAACAAACAAAUGCGGAUAGCGACUCAACAUGUCACUCUCCGUCUCCCAGGUGAGAUUCGGCCCAUUCGUGUGUUUCCAUCGGACAAGCACUAACCCAACCAUUUUGCGUCGCAACUUCUUAGUCUUUCGGUCAACAAUUGCCUCUGGUUCUUCAAUCAACCUUUUGUUCUCAUCAAUUCUCAAUUCAGAAAUUGGAAUUAUAUCGGGAACUUCUCCCGUGAACUUCCUCAAAUAACACACAUGAAAGGUGUUGUGAAUUCCAUUCAGUUCUUCGGGUAAUUCGAGCUUGUAAGCUUGAUUCCCAAUCCUCUGAAGGACUUUAAACGGUCCAAUAAACCUUGGACUCAACUUUCCCCUUUUACCAAAUCUUAUAAGUCCCUUCCACGGCGAGACUUUAAGCAAAACCGAAUCUCCAACCUCAAAAGUCAUCGGUCUUCGCUUCUUGUCAGCAUAGCUCUUUUGACGAUCUUGAGCUGCUAACAUUCUUUCCCUAAUUAUUUUCAACUUUUCAGCAGUUUGAUGAACCAUCUCCGGUCCCAUAAACUGCUUUUCCCCAGCCUCAAGCCAACAAGACGGCGUACGACACUUCUGUCCAUACAAAGCUUGAUAAGGUGCCAUCUUAAUGCUCGAGUGAAAACUAUUAUUAUAGGAAAAUUCUACCAACGGUAAAUGUUCAUCCCAAUUACCUAGGAAUUCCAAGGUACAUGCUCUCAGCAUAUCUUCAAGUGUUUGUAUUGUUCUUUCACUCUGACCAUCAGUCUGCGGAUGGUAAGCUGUGCUUAAACAUAACUUGGUACCCAUUUCCUCUUGUAGACUUUUCCAAAACCUUGAGGUGAAACGGCUAUCACGAUCCGAUACAAUCGUUAACGGAACACCGUGAAGCCUCACAAUUUCCUUCACGUAAGAAUUCGCAAGCUUUUCCAUAGACCAUUUCUCCCUGGCCGCUAUGAAAUGCGCACUCUUAGUGAAUCGAUCAACGACCACCCAAAUCAUGUCGUGACCAUUCUUUGUUCUGGGCAGUUUAGUGACAAAAUCCAUAGCAAUGUCUUCCCACUUACCCAUAGGCACAGGCAAUGGUUCUAAACUCCCGUAAGGUUUCUGAUGUUGUGUCUUGACUCUCGCACAAGUCACACACUCGGCCACAUACUUUGCAACAUCAAGCUUCAUCGUCGGCCACCAGUAGUAGGGUUUCAGGUCCCUAUACAUUUUAGUGCUACCCGGAUGAAUUGAGUACAUGGUUUUGUGAGCUUCUUCCAUCAGAAGAUCCCUAAUUCCUCCUGACUUAGGUACCCAAAUACGAUCUUGGAAUACCUUCAGUCCAUGACCGUUAGUACCAAACACCAACGUUUUACCCAAACGUUCCUCCUUUCGGUCAUUUUUCUCAGAAGCUUCCUCUUGAGCUUUCUUUAUACUUUCCACAAUAGUCGAGACAACUUCAAUUCUCAACGCUCUUGGCCUCUUCCUUUCAAGAUUGACUUUCCGACUGAGAGCAUCAGCAACAACAUUAGCUUUACCGGGGUGGUAAAGUAUCUCGCAGUCGUAGUCUUUAAGUAAUUCUAGCCAGCGUCGUUGCCUCAUAUUCAAUUCUUUCUGAUUAAAGAGGUAUUGGAGACUCUUAUGAUCAGUGAAAAGUUUGCACUUCGUGCCAUAGAGGUAAUGCCUCCAUAUUUUCAGAGCGAAAACUACCGCUGCCAACUCCAAAUCAUGAGUCGGGUAAUUCUUUUCAUGCUCUUUCAGCUGUCGAGACGCAUAUGCUAUCACCUUUUCUCUUUGGGUCAAAACACAACCCAAUCCAACACCAGACGCAUCGCUAUAAACAGCGAAGUCUUCAACUCCAUCGGGUAGAGAAAGUAUCGGUGCCUCGCAUAGCUUCUUCUUUAACUUCUCGAAUGCUUCUUUAUGCUUCUCACUCCAAGCAUAAGUAGCUCCUUUGUGGGUCAAAGCUGUUAAUGGAGUAGCAAUCGAAGAAAAGCCUUGGAUAAACCUUCGGUAAUAUCCGGCUAAUCCUAAAAAGCUUCGAAUCUCCGUGGGACUUUUCGGUUGUUCCCACUUCGUCACAGCUUCGAUCUUCGCUGGAUCAACCAUUAUCCCUUCUUGGUUGACCACGUGACCCAAGAAUUGGACCUCACGAAUCCAAAAAUCACAUUUGGAGAACUUCGCAUAAAGCUUCUCCUUCUUCAAAACUUCUAACACUUCUCGCAAGUGUCUGCCAUGCUCCUCCUGGCUUUUCGAGUAGAUCAGAAUGUCGUCUAUGAACACUAUCACGGAUUUAUCAAGGAAAGGAUUACAAACCCUAUUCAUCAAAUCCAUGAACGCUGCUGGAGCAUUGGUUAGUCCAAACGACAUAACCAAGAACUCGUAGUGUCCAUAUCUAGUUCUGAAUGCAGUCUUCUCGAUAUCUUGCUCUCUUACUUUCAGCUGAUGAUAUCCUGACCUAAGAUCGAUCUUCGAGAAAUAGCUCGAACCUUGCAAUUGAUCAAACAGGUCAUCAAUCCUCGGCAACGGAUAUCUAUUCUUUAUUGUUGCCUUGUUCAGCUCUCUGUAAUCGAUGCACAUUCUCAUACUUCCAUCUUUCUUCUUUACAAAUAACACCGGAGCUCCCCAGGGCGAUGAACUAGGUCUAAUGAAACCUUUGUCCAAUAACUCCUGAAGUUGCAUCAUCAGCUCCUUCAUCUCCGUCGGUGCUAAUCGAUAAGGUGCUUUUGCUAUUGGCGUGGUUCCUGGUAACAAGUCUAUUCUGAACUCCACUUGUCUAUCAGGUGGUAAUCCAGGAAGAUCCUCGGGAAAUACUUCCGGAUAAUCACACACCACUGGAAUGCUCUGCAUCACCUUCUUUUCUUUCUUAGCAUCAAUCACGAAUGCUAAAUAUGAUGUACAUCCCUUGGUCAAACACUUUCUGGCUUUCAUUAGAGAAAUGAUUCCAGAAUUCACUCUGCGUUUGUCCCCAUACACCAUAAACGAAUCUUUCCCAGGCGGGUUUACUUUAACUAUCUUCUUCUUGCACAAAAUUUCGGCAUCAUUGGCGCUAAGCCAAUCCAUUCCCAAGACGAUGUCGAAACCAUUUAGUUCGAUAGGCAAUAAUUCCUCGAGAAACUUAUUCCCAUUAAGGUCGAUCAAGACGUUUUUCAUACGAUGGCUAACAGGUACAAACUUGCCACUAGCUACUUCGACUAAUAAAGCAUUAUCUAGUCUAUCAACAGGCAAAGCUAGCUUUCUACCAAACUCAUGCGAAAUAAAGGAGUAGUUGGCUCCAGAAUCAAACAAUAUAUGAGCAGGUAAUUCGUUUACGAGAAAGGUACCUGAAGCGACAUCAGCUUCAUCUUUCGCAGCCUCAAGUGUCAUCUGGAAGGCUCUCGCCUUCGGCUUUGGUGGAAUGUUGGGCCUAGCUGCCUCCUUCUUCUUCGGACAGUCUUUCAAAAUAUGCCCCUCUUCAUUACACCCAAAACACAUCCUUUUGUUGUUCGGACAUUCAUUGGCAAAAUGUCCAACCUUUCCACACUUGUAGCAGGUCACAUCCUCGCUACAUUUCCCAAAGUGCUUUUUCUUACACUUAUCACACCACUUUGCUUCGCCUCCUUUUCCUCCAAACUUUUUCGAAUCAGAUUUCGAAAAUUUGCUCUUCUUACUGGAACCAGAUGUUCCUUCAAACUUCCUUUUCUCACCAACCUCAACCUUGACGGUGGUUCUCCCCUUGAUCAUGUUCUCCACAGACUUGGCAGCCCAGAUAGCUGCCUCUAGAGUAAGUGCCUGACGUACCGGCACCUCGUACUCCCAUGGAAGUCCCUUCGCAUACCGAUCCACCUUUGUCAGCUCGUCUGGAACGAUACGCAAGGCAAACUCCAUCUUAUCGGUGAAGUUAUUGGUGUACUCAUCCACUGACAUGCUACCCUUCGUCAAUGUCAAAAACUUGUUCUCCAACUCCAACAGAUUUUGAGCCGAGCAGAACUUGCGCUUGAACUGCACCAAGAACUCUGCCCAUGACAAUUGCAGUGGCUCAUUAGGGCUUAAGGUCUUCCCUAGAGUGUUCCACCAACGAACGGCUCCACCUCGGAAUUGUCGCACGGCAUAGAUAGUCUGCAACUUGCCUCUACAGCCACAUGUCAUAAAGGCUAACUCCAUUUCGGAGAUCCAAUCCAUAACCCCAAUCGGAUCCUCCUUUCCAUUGAAGGUCGAUGGUUUACAAGUCAAAAAGUCCUUGUACUUGCAUCCCAUUCCAUCAUUCCUUCCAUCAUGGUUAUCUUGCCUAACUAUCGGUGGGUUGGCUGGACCAACAGACCCACUGAAGUUUCCACCUUCCGAGUGCCCUUCAUUCAGUUCAGGCUCUUCCACACGAAUCGACAGUUCUUCACGAUUUUGUUGAAGCAACCGUCUAGUUUCAUCCAUCUGACGAUCCAACAUCGUCUGAAUCAUCAAUUGCACACCAGCCAUGGUUAUUGGCUCAGGUGCUGCUGCUACGACAGGUAUUGGCUCAAUCACUGGUGGUUGAUUCCUGUUUUCGUCAGCAUUUCCAACUCCACUUCUUGUUCUCACCAUUUUGAUCUACACCGAAUAAGGUGAAAUUAGAUCCUCAAUCAUGAUAGAUAUUCAAAUCAUCCUUAUCACUCCGAAACGUUUACAUGCUAGUUCUAAUAUCGUAGACGUACGCUUAGAAUCCUACACACAUAAGGUUUCUAGAUCCGGUCGGCAACAGACCAUAGAUCCGAACAAAUAAUAUCAUAUAUGGCAACAUAUAACAUUUAGCACAUAAAGCAUUUUAGGCAACUUUCCUAAAAUAAACUAGUGCUCGUGUCUAAAUCACAACAGACACACAUCUCAAAACUUCACUUAGCAUUCUAAGUUUAAGUCUAGAAAUCCUACAAAUUCCUAGUUCGCUUAAACUAAUGCUCUGAUACCAACUGUGACAUCCCCAAAAUCUCGGCCAGAAAAGACCGAUUUUCAUUUAUGCUUUUAAAUAUUUUCAGAGUAAAUCCUUUUGAUUUGAAAGAGUUGCGGAAUUUGUUCCCAAAAACAAAACAUGAUAAAACAUUGUUUACCGAAGCAUUUCAUAAAAGAAAUGUAUUUUCAUUAUAAUCAAAACUCGGGGUGUCAUGUUCCGAUACAGACCAAUAAGCAUAAACGAAUACAUUACAAGUCAUAUAACAAAUAUAAACAUAUGCAGACUUGUAAACAAAACAACUUGAUGGUUCAUCCAUCUCAUGCCCUUCCGCCACUACCUGUAAUACAAUUUAAAACUGAGUGGGUCAGGCUUGGGAGCCUGGUGAGCAUAUAGGGUUUUCAACCCACAAUAAAUAUCAUAUUUAAUUUUCACCAACCAACAAUAACCCAAUUACCCAUUCCCGUUAUUCUCACUUUAAUGUCCCUAAAACAACUAACAUAAGGGACCUAGUCUAAGAAUAUUUCAUCGGGGCGACAACACAUGCUUCGGGGGUACCUCAGCAAUAUAAGUCAAAUAAGGCAACCAUGAGGGGGAUGGAGUACAGCGAAUGAACACCCAAGUUCAUUAACACCUACAGGUGGCGAACCUGCUAAUGUUUCCACAAGACUGUCUAGAAUAGCCAGUGGUCGUCAUCUAAACUCCGCUAGAUGACUCAAUCAAACAACAACGAGGCCUCUCAUCUGUUUAUUACACACCAACUGUCUACCCAUGUUCUACCCAACAUAUUAGUAGAUAAAAAUAUACAUUUGUAUACAUAGUUUAAAGAAAACCUGUAUAGCAUGCUUUAAUCAACACAUAUAUCACAUAACAGAUGAGGCACACACACACAUAACACAUAUCUCAUAAAGAAAUAAGCAGAUCUAUAAGAUAGAAGAGAGUGAAUACUCAUUCACACAUAACACAACCAAAUAUAUACACAUAGCACGUAUUUUUAUAUAAAAUACUUCGUAUUAUUGUAUUAGAAGAAAUAACUACACACUCACUUGAUCAGAAGAUGAUCGGACAGCACUACGGCUUAUAGAAGUAGUAUUCCUCAGCAGAUCUGGAAGAUCUCCUCGAAAAUCGAACUUCUCGCGGGCAGAGCUUCGACUCGGGAACCGCACUUCUCGGGAUCUUCGGGAUCUCGGGACUUGCCUCGGGGCUAGAGUAUGAUACCGGGACUUCGGGAUAGCUUCGGCACGAAAAACGAUGCAAAAGACUAGAGAGAAGAGAAGAAAAUGAACAACAAAGAAGGCUGUCUUCGGAUCCUUUAUAUAGAGGCUGGAGCCUCGGAGUACGCGGGGCGUACAGGCGUACGCAGCGCGUACGCGUCCGAAAUCGUCAUUGCAUGCGUCAUCCGAAGUGUCGACACUAUGCUGAGUACGCGGUAGCGUAACCUCGUACGCGGGGCGUACUCCGGAUCACACCGGUGACUCGGCUUCGGAUAAUGCUUCCGAAUUUUGAAUUAAAAAUAAAUACAAAAUGAUUAAUAAACUUCGGAAAUUCAUAACUUCUUCAUACGAAUUCCGUUUUCGACGUUCUUUAUAUCCACGCGAAGGUGAGACCACGCUCUACGACUUUCGUUUAGACUUCGUCGGCAAAUUUUGACUUUAUUUUUAUUAUUUAUUUUUAAUAGGCCGGGACAGAAAUUUUCGUUAUAAAUUCAUAACUUCUUCGUUUGACGUCCGUUCUCGCCUAACUUUUUAUCGUUUCAAUACCAACAAUGAGAUCUUCGAUUCUCAUUUAGAUUGCUUCGGCUAACAACCGCUCGAUCUCAAAUCGAGUAAAACAGGCUGUAUAUCGCUAAGUCGGAACUUCGAUAAAUCAUAACUUCCUCAUACGAAGUCAGAUUUGGGCGUUCUAUAUAUAUUCGGAAAACUCGUUUCAAUUACUACAACAUUAAUCAAAUAUAUUAAGUUUAUUUUACACUUAAAUUUCGACGCUUAUUUUUAUUCUUAAUUAAUCAAACCAUAUAAUUAAGCAAUUAAGCACAAAACACAUAAUACUCAAAUAAUACAAUCUUAUUACUUCAAAAUGGGUUACAAAGGUCAACCUAGACUAUUACAUUGCUACAAAUGGCAAGCCCGAAAACACAGGCGUUACAGUAUGACGAUGGCUUGAGGAUGAAGGACUUAGGUGGCUGAUAAAAGUAUUUAACAUUAUCCUAGAGACUACCAACAUGCAUAAGAAGU